RNAcentral lists this ribosomal RNA (377 nucleotides) under uncultured organism. RNAcentral describes it as "bacterial SSU rRNA". It matches the Rfam family "Bacterial small subunit ribosomal RNA", at positions 526 to 896 of the family's 1533-position model. The record is from RNAcentral.
CAGAGACCUCAAGCGUUAUCCGGAAUUAUUGGGCGUAAAGCGUACCGACAGGUGGUUUGGUUAGUCUUGGGUGAAAUUCUGAAGCUCAACUUCAGAUUUGCUUAAGAUACUGCCAGACUAGAGGGGCAAAGAGGUAACUGGAACGAACGGUGUAGUAGUGAAAUGCGUUGAUAUCGUUCGGAACACCGAAAGCGAAGGCAGGUUACUGGGUGCCACCUGACACUGCUAGGACGAAAGCGUGGGGAGCGAAUGGGAUUAGAUACCCCAGUAGUCCACGCUGUAAACGAUGAAUACUAGGCAUGCGCGAGUAUCGACCCUCGUGCGAGCCGCAGCUAACGCGUUAAGUAUUCCGCCUGGGGAGUACGGCCGCAAGGCUA